This 466-nucleotide ribosomal RNA is filed under the name uncultured bacterium. RNAcentral's name for it is "partial 16S ribosomal RNA". It matches the Rfam family "Bacterial small subunit ribosomal RNA", at positions 30 to 507 of the family's 1533-position model. The record is from RNAcentral.
CGAGCGCUGGCGGCGUGCUUAACACAUGCACGUCGAACGGAAAGGCCCUGCUUUUGUGGGGUGCUCGAGUGGCGAACGGGUGAGUAACACGUGAGUAACCUGCCCUUGACUUUGGGAUAACUUCAGGAAACUGGGGCUAAUACCGGAUAGGAGCUCCUGCUGCAUGGUGGGGGUUGGAAAGUUUCGGCGGUUGGGGAUGGACUCGCGGCUUAUCAGCUUGUUGGUGGGGUAGUGGCUUACCAAGGCUUUGACGGGUAGCCGGCCUGAGAGGGUGACCGGCCACAUUGGGACUGAGAUACGGCCCAGACUCCUACGGGAGGCAGCAGUGGGGAAUAUUGCACAAUGGGCGGAAGCCUGAUGCAGCAACGCCGCGUGCGGGAUGACGGCCUUCGGGUUGUAAACCGCUUUCGCCUGUGACGAAGCGUGAGUGACGGUAAUGGGUAAAGAAGCACCGGCUAACUACGUG